CAGAAGGGCAAUUUGCCAAGCAAUUGUGUCCACUUCUAUGUUCCGCCGAACGAAAAACGAAUCCCGAUUCUCGGAGCCUCGAAUCAUCGACGAUGGCGCCACCAGGAGCAGCUAUCACCUGGUGCGCACUCACAGCAAUUUUCGUGGUCUCCCUCCUCAUACAGCCGUCCGUCUCUAUCUAUUGCGAUGAGGAUGACUGUUACGAUCUCUUAGGCGUCUCUCAAAAUGCCAAUGCCUCUGAGAUCAAGAAAGCUUAUUACAAGCUCUCUCUUAAAUAUCAUCCGGAUAAAAAUCCCGAUCCCGAGUCGAAGAAGUUGUUUGUGAAAAUUGCAAAUGCUUAUGAGAUUUUGAAAGAUGAAGCUACAAGGGAGCAGUACGAUUACGCAAUUGCACACCCGGAGGAGGUAUUCUAUAACGCAGCUAGAUACUACCAUUCUUACUAUGGCCACAAAACAGAUCCUCGGGCUGUCCUUGUGGGGCUUCUUUUGGUGCUCUCUGGAUUCCAGUAUUUAAACCAGUGGACAAGGUAUACACAGGCUAUUGAUAUGGUCAAGAAGUCACCCGCCUACAAAAAUAAGCUAAAGGCCUUGGAACUUGAACGCACUGGGGGAACGACAAUUAAGAAGAAAAGUAACAAGCAAGUAGAUAAGAAGCUACAGGAAGAGCUCAGCAAGGAACUUGAUUUGCAGAUAAAGGGUGCUGAAAAGCCCUCUGUUUGGGAACUUUUGGGCAUUCGUUUCUUGCUACUCCCUUACACCGUCGGGAAGCUUCUCUUAUGGUAUGGAUGUUGGUUCUGGAGAUACAAGGUGAAACGAGCUCCAUAUUCGUGGGAAGAUGCCUCCUAUCUAACAAGAAGAUCUCUUGGAGCACCUUCUGAUUCAUGGAGAUAUAUAGAUGAAUCAACCAAGGAAGAUCUUAUUCAGAGACGACUAUGGGAAAAAGCCAACUUGGAGAGCUAUAUGGCGGAGAUGAGGAAGGAAUCAAAACGCAGAAGAUAGAAGUUUUGUGACACAGCCUGGUGACCGUGAUUAUCCUGUACUCUAUUGCAGGAAAGCAGGCGCGAGAAUUUUUUACGGAGAGAAGCGUUUAAUAUACAAAAGAAAAGCCAAACCAUAGCACAUGGUUACAUUGGGAUUAUGAUUCAAAUAAUUGAAGUUACUUUUUAGCAAAUCUGGCUAUUCUAGCCCCACAACAAACGGCUAGAUCCGAGGCAUACAAAUACAGGACUUAACUCUUAGGAUUGCAAAUCUCCCUGGUGGAUCGUUUAGUCUGCAGCACAAUUUCUGAUGCUAAGGAUCCUCAAGAGAGACAAUAGCAGAGCAUACUUUUGUUACUUCUCAAAUUGCUGGUUUAACAUGACUGUUGAAACAAAUAUUAGUAUUCCGGAUUUCUCGUGAGAAACAUAGAGAAAUUAGAAACUCAUGAUCUAAAGGAACUCAAAGAUUUAUUUUC
Olea europaea var. sylvestris is the source of this 1452-nucleotide RNA transcript. It is a transcript of the gene named chaperone protein dnaJ 50-like, with no coding region annotated. The transcript is spliced from 11 exons. NCBI's taxonomy places the organism in Eukaryota, Viridiplantae, Streptophyta, Magnoliopsida, Lamiales, Oleaceae. The record is from RefSeq and is a predicted model, not a curated record.